GAUGAACGCUAGCGGCAGGCUUAACACAUGCAAGUCGAGGGGUAACAGGGAGAAGCUUGCUUUUCCGCUGACGACCGGCGCACGGGUGCGUAACGCGUAUAGAACCUACCUUUUACAGGGGAAUAGCCCAGAGAAAUUUGGAUUAAUGCCCUAUAGUAUUAUUGAAUGGCAUCAUUUAAUAAUUAAACAUUUAUGGGUAAAAGAUGGCUAUGCGUUCUAUUAGCUAGAUGGUAAGGUAACGGCUUACCAUGGCGACGAUAGAUAGGGGUCCUGAGAGGGAGAUCCCCCACACUGGUACUGAGACACGGACCAGACUCCUACGGGAGGCAGCAGUGAGGAAUAUUGGACAAUGGAGGCAACUCUGAUCCAGCCAUGCCGCGUGCAGGAAGACGGCCCUAUGGGUUGUAAACUGCUUUUAUACGGGAAGAAACCCAACUACGUGUAGUUGGCUGACGGUACCGUAAGAAUAAGCACCGGCUAACUCCGUGCCAGCAGCCGCGGUAAUACGGAGGGUGCAAGCGUUAUCCGGAAUCAUUGGGUUUAAAGGGUCCGUAGGCGGGCUAAUAAGUCAGGGGUGAAAUCCAACAGCUUAACUGUUGAACUGCCUUUGAUACUGUUAGUCUUGAAUUAUAUGGAAGUAGAUAGAAUGUGUAGUGUAGCGGUGAAAUGCUUAGAGAUUACACAGAAUACCGAUUGCGAAGGCAGUCUACUACGUAUAUAUG
RNAcentral lists this ribosomal RNA (722 nucleotides) under Lutibacter sp. RNAcentral describes it as "bacterial SSU rRNA". It matches the Rfam family "Bacterial small subunit ribosomal RNA", at positions 28 to 741 of the family's 1533-position model. The record is from RNAcentral. Lineage: Bacteria; Pseudomonadati; Bacteroidota; Flavobacteriia; Flavobacteriales; Flavobacteriaceae.